RNAcentral lists this ribosomal RNA (428 nucleotides) under uncultured prokaryote. RNAcentral describes it as "bacterial SSU rRNA". It matches the Rfam family "Bacterial small subunit ribosomal RNA", at positions 355 to 774 of the family's 1533-position model. The record is from RNAcentral.
UGGGGAAUUUUGCGCAAUGGGCGAAAGCCUGACGCAGCAACGCCGCGUGAGUGAUGAAGGCUUUCGGGUCGUAAAGCUCUGUCAAGGGGAAAGAAGUGUAUUGUGGUUAAUACCCAUGAUGCUUGACGGUACCCCUAAAGGAAGCACCGGCUAACUCCGUGCCAGCAGCCGCGGUACUACGGGGGGUGCAAGCGUUGUUCGGAAUUAUUGGGCGUAAAGCGCGUGUAGGCGGUUUGUUAAGUCUGAUGUGAAAGCCCCGGGCUCAACCUGGGCAGGGCAUUGGAAACUGGCAGACUGGAAUACGGGAGAGGGUAGUGGAAUUCCUGGUGGAGGAGUGAAAUCCGUAGAUAUCAGGAGGAACACCGGUGGCGAAGGCGGCUGCCUGGACCGAUAUUGACGCUGAGACGCGAAAGCGUGGGUAGCAAACA